Molecule: ribosomal RNA, 325 nt
Filed under: uncultured eukaryote
Lineage: Eukaryota
Description: partial 18S ribosomal RNA
Rfam family: Eukaryotic small subunit ribosomal RNA
Source: RNAcentral
CCCUUAGAUGUUCUGGGCCGCACGCGCGCUACACUGAUGCAUUCACCAAGCCUAGCCUUGACCGAGAGGUCCGGGUAAUCUUUGAAACUGCAUCGUGAUGGGGCUAGAUUAUUGCAAUUAUUAAUCUUCAACGAGGAAUGCCUAGUAAGCGUGAUUCAUCAAAUCGCGUUGAUUACGUCCCUGCCCUUUGUACACACCGCCCGUCGCACCUACCGAUUGAGAGCAUAGGUGAAAACUCAGGAUCUUAUCUCUUGGACCUUCGGGUACCUUUAGAUUAGAGAAUUUGUUUAAACCUCCGUUCUUAGAGGAAGGUGAAGUCGUAACA